RNAcentral lists this ribosomal RNA (407 nucleotides) under uncultured Antarctic cyanobacterium. RNAcentral describes it as "bacterial SSU rRNA". It matches the Rfam family "Bacterial small subunit ribosomal RNA", at positions 382 to 787 of the family's 1533-position model. The record is from RNAcentral. Lineage: Bacteria; Bacillati; Cyanobacteriota.
ACGGAAGCAAGACCGCCGUGGGGGNAAAGAAGGGCUCUUGGGGUUGUAAACCCCCUUUUUCUCUGGGAAAGAAAGUUGUGAAAGCAGCCUGACGGUACCAGAGGAAUCAGCAUCGGCUAACUCCGUGCCAGCAGCCGCGGUAAGACGGAGGAUGCAAGCGUUAUCCGGAAUGAUUGGGCGUAAAGCGUCCGCAGGUGGCAGUUCAAGUCUGCUGUCAAAGACCGGGGCUCAACCUCGGAAAGGCAGUGGAAACUGAACAGCUAGAGUAUGGUAGGGGCAAAGGGAAUUCCUGGUGUAGCGGUGAAAUGCGUAGAGAUCAGGAAGAACAUCGGUGGCGAAGGCGCUUUGCUGGACCAUAACUGACACUCAGGGACGAAAGCUAGGGGAGCGAAUGGGAUUAGAUACCC